UACGGAGGGUGCAAGCGUUAUCCGGAUUCACUGGGUUUAAAGGGUGCGUAGGUGGGCAGGUAAGUCAGUGGUGAAAUCUCCGAGCUUAACUCGGAACUGCCGUUGAUACUAUUUGUCUUGAAUAUUGUGGAGGUAAGCGGAAUAUGUCAUGUAGCGGUGAAAUGCUUAGAUAUGACAUAGAACACCAAUUGCGAAGGCAGCUCACUACACAAUGAUUGACGCUGAGGCACGAAAGCGUGGGGAUCAAACAGG
This 252-nucleotide ribosomal RNA is filed under the name uncultured bacterium. RNAcentral describes it as "partial 16S ribosomal RNA". It matches the Rfam family "Bacterial small subunit ribosomal RNA", at positions 524 to 776 of the family's 1533-position model. The record is from RNAcentral.